AUACCCGUCCUGAAGCGGGCAUCUGACGGGGGUGAAACAGGAUCGACGAGGGCGUAAAGGAUUGUCUUUCACCCGGCAUGGCACCGCCGUUAUCGGGCUAAAACUUUAGUUGCAAACGACAACUAUGCUCCGGUUGCUGUUGCUGCGUAAGCGGUAACAAACACCGAAAUUGAAGCCCAGCGCCUUAAGCAGGCUCUGGCGGGGUUCGCAGGCACCUGGCAACAGAAGCCUGCAUU
Molecule: transfer-messenger RNA, 236 nt
Filed under: Hyphomicrobiales bacterium
Lineage: Bacteria; Pseudomonadati; Pseudomonadota; Alphaproteobacteria; Hyphomicrobiales
Description: partial transfer-messenger RNA
Rfam family: Alphaproteobacteria transfer-messenger RNA
About the family: Bacterial tmRNA, also known as 10Sa RNA or SsrA, is named for its dual tRNA and mRNA-like properties. Its role is to liberate the mRNA from a stalled ribosome.
Source: RNAcentral